GUCGUUUCUAUCAAAAAAAAAAUCCAGUUUUGUUUCUUGAUUUAUGCUCAUCUGCUUGAUUUGAUUUUUGCUUUUAGUAUUGGCUGCUAUUAAUUUUCUUUUAAAUCCCUUCUAAUCAAUUGUAGAGUCAAUCUGGAAAGUUUCACAAUGAACUUGAUGGGGAGAUUUUCAGAGGGCUGUUCUAUAGACGGAAAUGAGGAUGAUUAUUCAAAUUUUAUGUAGACGGAAAGCUUCGCUAUGAACUUGUGGGCUUCCUUUCCCUUGAAAGACGAUCUCAGAGUCUGGUUUGGCAGGUCUUAUGCGUUCAUGGUGUGUGCUUGCUUGCAAUAUAGUUGGGCCUGCUGUUUCUAUUUGCACGAGGAGGAGAAAAGAAUUUUUGACGGAGAGGAGAGAAGUAAUGAAAUGAGAGGAGUCGAGAGGAUUGUGGGUGAAGGGAAUCAAGGUUUUGGGUUGAGGUGAUUUUGGAUGAUAAAUCUGCUAGAAUGCUAUUUUACUCUUUGUGAUCCUAUUAUUGUAUAUAUGGGUCCGGAUGAGCUGAAGACAAGAAUUUACAACGCGCGCUGGUCAUCCAACCUCGUUGUAACACGAGUUGAAGCUGGUGCCGACGACCAACGAUAAAUUUCCAACAACGGACAUCCGACAUCGAACAUAAAGCAACACUGACGACUGAAUUCAACCCGGUUCCAACACCAAACUCUCUCAUUUUUUUUGGCCACAAAUCUUUCUGAGGGGAGCUUAAAAACGAAGAGUUGAAGCUGGCACCGGCGGUUGAUUAUUGAUUUCCGACAACCAACGACCGAUAUCCAACAUCGAACGAAAAGCAGCACAAACGUCUGAAUCCAACCUGG
Long non-coding RNA from Nelumbo nucifera (sacred lotus), 848 nucleotides. RefSeq lists it as uncharacterized. NCBI's taxonomy places the organism in Eukaryota, Viridiplantae, Streptophyta, Magnoliopsida, Proteales, Nelumbonaceae. The record is from RefSeq and is a predicted model, not a curated record.